GCAAUGAUGCUGUCAGUGGAACAGGCGACUAUACAUACAGAACAUGUAGCAGUCCGUUGAUGUCAGUCUAAAGCUGGGUGUACUGGAGCUCCACUAAGUCGGGGCUCGCGUCUGCGGCUGGAUCCUUAAAGUAGAGUGUGGCAGUGUCUUCCCCCCGCUGGCCCGUCCUCCGGGCCCUGUGCUCGGUCACCUCUUUGGGCUGCUCCUGGCGGCAGCGGUUGCUGUUCCACCAAGCCUCCAGCCCGGCCACCAGGCAGGCCAGCAGCAGGCCGGCAGCAAGGAUGCAGAAGAUGCCGGCGAAGCUGUGCAGCUUGAGGGAACGGCCGUCAGGAUGCGCGCUGGCGUGGCUGUUGAGGUCGCAGCGGCCGGUGCGAGGCCACCACUUCUGCUUCAUGAUGUCCAGGUCGCCUUUCUCCUGUAGCUCCAAGAUCCUGAAGAGGGACAGAUGGACAGGGCAGCAGACCUGACUGACUGCAAUCAUUGGUAUUGGACACAUCUUGCAGUACCCUGGCAGACCUCCUCACCAGAUCAGACCAGAGUUGUCUUUAUUUCUUGUCUAUUGUCUUCACAGCACAGCACCCAAACAUGCCUACAAUACCUACUCUUUUGGUUAA
This is a non-coding RNA of Epinephelus lanceolatus (giant grouper), 614 nucleotides long. The record is from RefSeq and is a predicted model, not a curated record. NCBI's taxonomy places the organism in Eukaryota, Metazoa, Chordata, Actinopteri, Perciformes, Serranidae.